RNAcentral lists this ribosomal RNA (151 nucleotides) under uncultured eukaryote. RNAcentral describes it as "partial 18S ribosomal RNA". It matches the Rfam family "Eukaryotic small subunit ribosomal RNA", at positions 1299 to 1458 of the family's 1831-position model. The record is from RNAcentral.
UGGUGGAGUGAUUUGUCUGGUUAAUUCCGUUAACGAACGAGACCUCAGCCUGCUAAAUAGUGAUUGGAUUUAUGGUUUACGCCUUGAAUCUAAGUACACUUCUUAGAGGGACUAUUGGUGUAGAAGCCAAUGGAAGUUUGAGGCAAUAACA